This 497-nucleotide ribosomal RNA is filed under the name uncultured bacterium. RNAcentral describes it as "partial 16S ribosomal RNA". It matches the Rfam family "Bacterial small subunit ribosomal RNA", at positions 28 to 507 of the family's 1533-position model. The record is from RNAcentral.
GAUGAACGCUGGCGGCGUGCCUAAUACAUGCAAGUCGAGCGAACAGACGAGGAGCUUGCUCCUCUGACGUUAGCGGCGGACGGGUGAGUAACACGUGGAUAACCUACCUAUAAGACUGGGAUAACUUCGGGAAACCGGAGCUAAUACCGGAUAAUAUAUUGAACCGCAUGGUUCAAUAGUGAAAGACGGUUUUGCUGUCACUUAUAGAUGGAUCCGCGCCGCAUUAGCUAGUUGGUAAGGUAACGGCUUACCAAGGCAACGAUGCGUAGCCGACCUGAGAGGAGGACGGCCCACACUGGAACGGGGACCGGGCCCAGCCUCCGAGGGAAGGAGCCGGAGGGGAAUCUCCCGCAUGGGGCAAAACCCGAACGGACCAGCCCGGGGGGAGGAAUAAAGUUUUUGGAUUCUAAAACCUUUGUUUUGGGGAAAAACAAAUUGUUAAAUUACCAAGGCCCGCCUUGACGGAACUAAAUAAGAAAGCCACGCCUAACUACGUC